CGCACCUUAUUUCAGGGACGCAUCUCCGUGCCCAACGCCGCCCUCCGGUGCUUGGGGACACGAUGGCAGCUCGGUGGCUGGUGGUGAAGGGGGGAGGGGAAAGAAUGCCAAUUUUGCUUUUGAAAGCCACCAAGAGAGGGAAAGCAGUGAGACAGAAAUGAGGGGAACGUCCUCCUGUUGGAGCACCUUUUGCAUCAGUGCUUUCUUAUGGGAGCAAUGGGAUGUGUGGCAAUGGAAUCAGAUCCAAGCAUUGGAGACUGCCCCAAGCAUCCCAUCCGUGCUACUCACAGCCCUGGGCACAUUUCUGUCCUUCGACUUUGGGUUGAUGAAACGGCACCGUUUUGUUCAGCACGGAGCUCCAAGCAGAGCUGGUGUUGGGGCAGAGGGUUCUGUGCUGCUUUUUGCCUAUUGGUACACUGUGAGCCAAGUGCUGUGUGUGUCAUAGAGCCGUCCCUCUGCAGGAGAUCUGUGGGGCAAAAGAGUUUGGGUUUCUAUCAUGGGGUUGGUGUUUUCCCAAGGCACUCAGUUUUGAGUAAAAGCAUUGUGAAUGCCCCUAAAUCUCCGUCCUGGAGUUUUCCCAAAACCACAAAUGAGGAGAAAGCGCCCAAAAAUAGGGGGAGUGUCGGAGGAGAGCCAGGGAUUGGGCUGUCCAUGGGAACAACGGGGUUAUCCACGGGAUCAAUGGGGACAACCAGGGUUCAAUAAGGAUAAUCCCCCCUCCCCUCAGUACCCAAAUAAGUGCUCUGUGCCUGUACAAACCACCCCAGAGCGGGAUGGGAUGUAGGGACUGGGAGGGAUGCAGGGGGUGAGGGGGAUGCAGAGGUGGGAGGGAUGCAGGGGAUGGAUGGGAUGCAGGGGAUGGAUGGGAUGCGGGGGGGGGGGGGGGGGGGGGGGGGGGGGGGGGGGGGGGGGGGGAGGCACUGCAGUCGGAUCCAAGCAGGAGCAGCCUGACAGAUGGGGCUGCCCUACAUUUCACCCAUGCUUGCAGUUAAGCUGCCUUCCUGUGCCCUCCCCCCCGGCCCCAAAACACUGCGAGUGGAGGAGGUUGGCUCAGGGGUGGCUUUGGGGUGCAGGGACCUGGAGAUGCCAAUAGGGACGCAGCCCCCCCAGGCUGCCCCCCAAGCAUCUCCCCACAAUAUCUCAGCCCUCCCAGGACUUUCUGUUUCUCCUCCUUCUCACCAAAGUGACGUGAGCCCAUGGGGUUCCCAGGCUCUAAUUUCACCCGUGCUGUCAGGUCCCCCCCCCUCCCACGCAUGCGUUGGCACCAGGGAAGCGAAAGAGAACAGGGCUGGGACAGUGGGGACACAGCUGCAGCCUGGCAUGAUGCAGAGUGAGGGUGGGAUCCCUAAACCCCACAAGAAAUGAUUUGGGGCCACAGUUUUCCCCCAGCCUGCAGCAUCCUCUGCUCUGAGAUGUGGGCUCGUGUUAUGCCAGCCCACAGCCAGCCUUAGCCCCUUGCUGAGGAGUGAGUCUGUAACCCCUCCAUAUGGGGUUUUGGGGCCGGAUCCUGCUUCCACUGCAAUAGGGCUCUCCCCAUCCCAUGGCUGUAGCUAUUGGGUUCUCACCAGGGCGGUUUCUAUUCCUCCUGAAACUUGACAUGAGAGCAUAAAACCCACUCAGAAAUGUGGGUACAGCAGGGAAAUCCCCCACUGGGUCCCCAAAAGCCACCAGCUUUGUGCUCUGCCCCCUCUGCACCGAGGUCCCUGUGUCCCCAUGGGGUGCCUGACUCUUCCAAGCUCUGGAAUUCUCCAUUUUCAGGCGCUUUUCUGAGCUUCACCCACCACAGUGCUGUUUUCACUUUGGUGCUGUGCUUCCCAUGGGGCUGUGACCCCCUGAUUGGUGCCCCCCACCCAUUCAUGCCUCUGCUUGAUCAUUACCCUGAGUGCUCCGCAGAGGGGCUCAGGCCACCUCCCUGAGCCAGGAGGAGGAAAAACACAGAGGCAGAGAAGAAAAGGAGUUUCUCACCCAUUGAUGCUCGCCCACCACCCAAAGCCAUGCUCCAGGGCAGCAGAAAUGCAGGCAGAGCAGUGUCAGCCUUGUCCCAGCCACGAGGAGCACCCACAUCCCAGGCAGAGCACCCAUAGACAUCACUGCAUCCCCAUGACAACCAUCAGGUCCCCAUCCACCCUUCCUCUCUUCCCCAUAUCCCUUCGAGGUCAGCACACCCCUCCAGGCAGAGCUCACCACCCCAAAACACAGCAUCAGGGGGAACCCCGUGCUGUCCCUCCCAUGCACCCUGAGGUUCUCCCCACCCAGGCACUGCUGGGUACGGGGGUGCAACUUCUUUCCAUUCCGAGGAGAUUCCCCAAGCCCCCACGCAGGCGAAAGCACCGCGGGUUUCCUGCCUGUGGGCGGAUGCUAUCCUGGGCUGCAGGCACUGCGUGAUGCAGUGGGGGGGAGGGGGGGGCCCUGCUGGGGUUGGGGACGCCGUGUUUCCGCCCCGAGAGCUCUCUCACAGACCUACGUGUUUCUUUUGUUGUUGUUUAUUUGAAAGCAGGUUUUCCAUCCCUCUGUGAGGGAUGGCAAUAGGGAGGAUACAGAGCAUCCGCAGGUGCCGCGCUCUGGGUAUCGGUUUGGGGAGGAUGAAGGCAUCCUCACCACCUCAUCAUCACAGCAUCUGAAAGUCACAGUUUGGGGACCACCCAACUCCGAGACCACAAGGCUGCAAUGGGCUGGGAAAGAAAAAUAAAAUAAAAUAAAAUAAACCA
Long non-coding RNA from Phasianus colchicus (ring-necked pheasant), 2708 nucleotides. The record is from Ensembl. NCBI's taxonomy places the organism in Eukaryota, Metazoa, Chordata, Aves, Galliformes, Phasianidae.